Long non-coding RNA from Oncorhynchus tshawytscha (Chinook salmon), 622 nucleotides. Lineage: Eukaryota; Metazoa; Chordata; Actinopteri; Salmoniformes; Salmonidae. The record is from Ensembl.
UGGGAGUGGAGAUAUGGACUGGUCUCUAUCCACUUCCUCGUAAAGAAACAGGUAGCGGUGAAGGUUGGGGGGUUGGGAUGGAGAUAUGGACUGUUCUCUCUCCACUUCCUCGUAAAGAAACAGGUAGCGGUGAAGGCGGGUUGGGAGUGGAGAUAUGGACUGGUCUCUAUCCACUUCCUCGUAAAGAAACAGGUAGCGGUGAAGGGGGGGGGUUGGGAGUGGAGAUAUGGACUGGUCUCUAACCACUUCCUCGUAAAGAAACAGGUAGCGGUGAAGGGGGGUUGGGAGUGGAGAUAUGGACUGUUCUCUAACCACUUCCUCGUAAAGAAACAGGUAGCGGUGAAAGGGGGGUUGGGAGUGGAGAUAUGGACUGGUCUCUAUCCACUUCCUCGUAAAGAAACAGGUAGCGGUGAAGGGGGGUUGGGAGUGGAGAUAUGGACUGUUCUCUAACCACUUCCUCGUAAAGAAACAGGUAGCGGUGAAGGGGGGUUGGGAGUGGAGAUAUGGACUGGUCUCUAUCCACUUCCUCGUAAAGAAACAGGUAGCGGUGAAGGGGGGUUGGGAGUGGAGAUAUGGACUGGUCUCUAUCCACUUCCUCGUAAAGAAACAGGUAGCGGUGAAG